CUGCAAAGGACGAGAAAAAGGUCUUAGAUCUAUGACUAAUGCUCAAUGAGUGCGAACAAUGAACAAAAACUACUUGAGUGUUGAGAAAGGACAUAUUCCAUCUUUCUUAUCUACAGAGGAAAUUAUGCAAUAGAUCAAAACAAAUUCAUCAAGUGCUCAAGGGGAGUCUCAAGGGCUUAAAUCUAUUUGCUCAAUUGAAGAUUCUGAAAAUGAGGAGCGAUAUUUCAAUCAAAAUGAUCAUUAUGUUACUCAAAGUAUGUCAAGACCUUCUGUUGCUCAAAGAUGGCGAACAAUGAAUAAAAAGUUUUUGACUUCUGAGAAAGAGCAUAAGCAAGCUGAUGUUCCAAUUUCUCUUUCUAUUGAUGGUGUUAUGGAGUCCACCCCAACAUCUGAAACAAAUUUUUCUCAAGGAUCACGAACAAUGAAUGAGCAAUUUUUUGGCUUUUGAGAAAGAGUAUAUGCAAUCUGAUGUUGCAUUUCUUCUUUCUAAUGAUAGUGUUAUGGAGUCCACCCCAAUAUUUGAAACAAGUUUCUCUCAAGGAUGGAGAACAACAGAUAAAACAUCUUUGGCUCAUGAAAAAGAGGUUUGCAUUCUAAAGUCGUCCAAAAAUGACUAUGGACCAGUUAGAAACUAGUCGCAAAAUGAUGUAUGGACCAGUUGGUAACUAGUCACAAAAAUGAUUUAAUGAGCAAAA
Solanum pennellii is the source of this 695-nucleotide long non-coding RNA. RefSeq lists it as uncharacterized. The transcript has 4 exons. The record is from RefSeq and is a predicted model, not a curated record. Lineage: Eukaryota; Viridiplantae; Streptophyta; Magnoliopsida; Solanales; Solanaceae.